Non-coding RNA from Misgurnus anguillicaudatus (oriental weatherfish), 2004 nucleotides. NCBI's taxonomy places the organism in Eukaryota, Metazoa, Chordata, Actinopteri, Cypriniformes, Cobitidae. The record is from RefSeq and is a predicted model, not a curated record.
CAAUGCUGUUAAGGGUUUUAGCAGAGGUGGGUACACUGUAAAAAAUUUCUGUAAAUUUACAAUGGAAAUUCAACAGCAAAAUGCUGUUUUCAUGUAAUAACAGUAAGUUGCUGUUUUUUACAGUGCAUUGUGGGUAGACUUUCUCACUUCAGGCCGGUUGUCGAGCAACAACAGAAUGUCACUGUUAUUUAACGGUAUUAUAGCAUAUUUUUCGUUGGGCACGCCAUUUUGGAUUGUCUGCAUGAGGUAGGUCUGCAACUUUAUCGAUGCUUGUGCUAUUUUAAAAUUACAUAUUACUUUUAAAUAUUGCAUUUUAUUCAGUAAAGCUUUUAAAAAAUAAAUCAGAUUCCAUUUCCUAUUUUAAUCAGGCAAAGCAGGUAUUCUACCAUCACAUCAGUUACACUCACAUCAGAUCACAGGUAUAUUUUGGUGCUUUGGUGCUAUUUUGGUCCCUAUUCCCUUUUCGUGCAUUGUAUAGACCAACAAAUAUUACAGAUUAAGAUGUGUGCCACUCUUGCUGACUUUGAGAAGACUAGUAACUUGUAACACCUCGUUUGAUCCUGUUUGGUGAUUCUCAGGGACAAUGGAUUAAACAAUGGAUGAUCAGCCUGAAAGCCAAAAGGGUGUUCAGCCAACGUGUCUCACUGGACUUGCUGCAUUGUUUUCUUGCAAAAAGUGAAAGCAGCAUCCACACUGGAAGUCCUUCAAAGACGCUUCAUUAAAAUCAAACCGGGAAACAAGGGUGCAAAGGGAAAGUGACCUCUAAAACAGGAAAACUGCAAAAGAAGACCAUCAACAGUCAGUCUCAAAAUAUCAAAUCUUUUAAAAAAGACUUUUGGACUUUGAGUGGUACUUCAUUUAAAAUGUAGCUGACACUUCCCACCAAUACAGUUUUUUUUUUAAAUAUGGUGGGCUGCAGUGAUGGCAGGUGACUUCUCCGAGGAGGCACGAAUGCAAAGCUAGCCAAAACAUUGUCAUGUGUGUGGCUCGUCACUUCAAAAUGUGUGUUUGGCGCGUCAUGUGAACCUGUGCAUAGCGUGUCAUGUCAAAAUACGUGCCUGCUCCAGACACUUUGAAGGGGAUUAUAAUAAAAGAGAUGCUCGCUUUUGCCAUACUAGCUUAAUCUCAUGUGUAAUCAGAGUUUAGUGUUAAAUGAGUGUCUUGCGGGUAUCAUGUGAAUGUCUCUUUUAUUCUUUAUCAUAUUCAAAGCGUUUGCGGGAGGCACGUAUUUUGACAUGAUGUGCAAUGCAUAUAGAUUCACAUUACACCCCGAACACAUAUUUUGCAUCCUGGCCACCACUGGUGGGUGGUGUUUUUGUAUACUGGUUUGUAUAUUAUAGACCAUGUUUUCAUAUUUAAAAUUGGGCUGGUGUCUGUUAAAGAAUAAGCAAAGUAAUGUUUUAUUGAAUCCUCUUAAAAAUGUGCUGUUUUUACAGUUGUGAAACUUUUGUGCUUUUUUUGAAAUCUAAAUUUUAAACUACAUUUGUAUUUUAAGUAAAGAUAAGGCAUCUCAAUAUUGUACUUUGUUUUUUUGAUAUUUUUUUUUUUUGUAUUUUAGUAUGUUAUUGGUGCGUUUUUGUUGCACCACCGUUUAUGCACUGAAUAUUAAAAUAUAUCUGCUUGUAUUUCUGCCUGUUUUAUGGCAUAACAAACAUAGCAUAACAGUCAAUCUGGUGUUGAAUAGAAUAAAGAAUAAAAAAAUCAUAACCUGGCCUUUUUUGUUCUAUGUUAUCCACUUUGACAAAUAUAAAAUGCAGGGUAUAAUAGCAUUUAAAUUAAAAAAUAAUGGAGUUGUGACUAAUAUGUACUGUAAAUUAACCGGUAUAUGAUGCUAAAUAACAGUUUUAUGCUGUAGAUAACAAAAACAGUAUCAUGCUAUUAAAUAACAGCUGUAUUCUGUAGGUGACACAAACAGUACCAUGCUGUUAAAAUAACAGUUGACUGCUGUAGGUAACAAAACAGUAUCAUGCUGUUUUUUCUAAUAACAGUAUCCCGCUGUAAAUU